Molecule: ribosomal RNA, 1671 nt
Filed under: Triticum aestivum (bread wheat)
Lineage: Eukaryota; Viridiplantae; Streptophyta; Magnoliopsida; Poales; Poaceae
Description: partial small subunit ribosomal RNA
Source: RNAcentral
AUGGACGGUCUGUUCAGCUUCAGCACCAUAAAGGAGUUCGUGGGGUUUGGGUUGGAGAUCAUCAGCGCGCUGGACAAGGCCGAACACAACGCGGAGGACUGCCGCAGGAUACGCGACCUCCUGCUCAGCCUGAGGGCCAUCGCCAAGCAACUGCAGGAGUCGCCCAAGAUCAUGGAGGACAACUUGAUGAGGGGCACGGCGGAGGGCCUACGGAAGGCCCUGCAGCGCGCGUCCGAGUUUGUCGCCAAGUGCGAGCGCAAGGGGCUCCUCAGCCGUGCUUUUAAUGCCAAAGGCAUCGCCGAGAAGCUGCGCGGGGUCUGCCUCGAUGUGCUGCUCAACAUCAACGCCGUGCUGCUUGCCAACAGUGCCUUGAACACCUCGCUGCUGGCCAAUCUUGAGGAAAAUAUGGCUCAGCUCCGCGCAGACUUCACCUCUGCCAUCUCAAUGUUGGCCAAGAUUCUGCAGAUUGUUGAUCUGCCACAAGAGGUGACAAAAUUGGUGGAGGACUACCAGAUCAGUUCUCAAACUAAAAACAAAAGGGAGACAAAGAAAACAGAUGUACCUAGUUCUCAAAACAAAAACAAAGGGGAGGCAAAGAAAACAGAUGUUGCCAGGCCGGAAGGGAAGAAUCAAAAGAAAAACAAGAAACUAGGGCGUAUCACGGUGGUGCCAGAUGCUUCCUUACCAGAUGGCUUACCUGAGUCCGCUUCAACGGACAGUAUGGGUGAGGAAGGCUCUAGUACUAUUGUUGCUGCACGGCCCGAUGUUGAUCUGCCAGAAGAGGUGGAAAAAUUGGUGGAGGUCGACCAGAUCAGUCCUCAAAUUAAAAAUAAAGGGAAGGCAAAGGAAAGAGAUGUUGCCAGGCUGGAAGUAAAGAUUCAGAGAAACAAGAAACCAGGGGGCUUAGCUGAGUUCGUUUCAGCGGACAGUGUGGUUAGACAAGGCUCUAGUACUGUUAUUAUCAAUAAGAUAGACCCCCAUUCCUCUGAGACUAGCAAGAUGCUCGAGGUCUACCUGCAGCAGCUUCUCUUCCCCUUGGAGCCAAAAAACAAGGAAACUACUGGAUGCCCAGUGGCCCUAACCAACAAUACAAACGAUCACGUUGGCAUCUUGAUUAAACCAAUAAAUGGGAAAUUUACAGAACCAGAGAUAAUGAAGCCCCAUUCGACUUUGGUUGUGUAUGCGACAAUGAAGAUGCAUGCACAACCUCCCAAAGACACGGUCAAGUUUGAGGUGCUCAUGAUUAUCGUACAGUCGGAGGGAGACCACAGAAAAUUGAAGGCAUUCAUUGUUGACAAGCUGAAUAUGGACAGUGGCUUUAUGGUGCAUGUUAAGAACCUUAAGGAAGAGGUGUAUCGGGCAAUGCUGACACCUAUCACUUGUGACCCAGCAAGCUGCUGCCAGAUCAUAUCAAGAUCGAUAGAGAAAAUAAACUUGGUGACAUCCAUUGAUGCACACCCCACUAAGCCAUGGAUUGUGACGGGUCAUGAGGGGGGGAAUUUUUCCAUUUGGGACUACCAGAAGCAGGAAACUGUGAUGAAGUUGCAGGUCAAUGAGGUGCCAGACAAGACUACACUCAUGUUCCAUGCCUUGUCUCAGCGCAUCAAACUGAGGCCUCCCAAACAUUCUGUUUUUCAGUCAAAUUUAUCGCUGAAAGGAAAUGGUUGGUAG